UUCUGUAGCAAGGUUAACCGUAUAGGGGAGCCGGAGGGAAACCGAGUCUUAACCGGGCGUUAAGUUGCAGGGUAUAGACCCGAAACCCGGUGAUCUAGCCAUGGGCAGGUUGAAGGUUGGGUAACACUAACUGAAGGACCGAACCGACUAAUGUUGAAAAAUUAGCGGAUGACCUGUGGCUGGGGGUGAAAGGCCAAUCAAACCGGGAGAUAGCUGGUUCUCCCCGAAAGCUAUUUAGGUAGCGCCUCGUGAAUUCAUCUCCGGGGGUAGAGCACUGUUUCGGCCAGGGGGCCAUCCCGGCUUACCAACCCGAUGCAAACUGCGAAUACCGGAGAAUGUUAUCACGGGAGACACACGGCGGGUGCUAACGUCCGUCGUGAAGAGGGAAACAACCCAGACCGCCAGCUAAGGUCCCAAAGUCAUGGUUAAGUGGGAAACGAUGUGGGAAGGCCCAGACAGCCAGGAUGUUGGCUUAGAAGCAGCCAUCAUUUAAAGAAAGCGUAAUAGCUCACUGGUCGAGUCGGCCUGCGCGGAAGAUGUAACGGGGCUAAACCAUGCACCGAAGCUGCGGCAGCGAACGUAUCACUUAAAGCGAUUCAGCGGAUGACGAUUGACGGAGCGAAGCGACGUCAAAGCGUUUUACAACGUCGAGUCGGUU
RNAcentral lists this ribosomal RNA (658 nucleotides) under Salmonella enterica subsp. arizonae. RNAcentral describes it as "partial 23S ribosomal RNA". It matches the Rfam family "Bacterial large subunit ribosomal RNA", at positions 633 to 1225 of the family's 2925-position model. The record is from RNAcentral. Lineage: Bacteria; Pseudomonadati; Pseudomonadota; Gammaproteobacteria; Enterobacterales; Enterobacteriaceae.